UUAAGCGACUAAGCGUACACGGUGGAUGCCCUGGCAGUCAGAGGCGAUGAAGGACGUGCUAAUCUGCGAUAAGCGUCGGUAAGGUGAUAUGAACCGUUAUAACCGGCGAUUUCCGAAUGGGGAAACCCAGUGUGAUUCGUCACACUAUCAUUAACUGAAUCCAUAGGUUAAUGAGGCGAACCGGGGGAACUGAAACAUCUAAGUACCCCGAGGAAAAGAAAUCAACCGAGAUUCCCCCAGUAGCGGCGAGCGAACGGGGAGGAGCCCAGAGCCUGAAUCAGUGUGUGUGUUAGUGGAAGCGUCUGGAAAGGCGCGCGAUACAGGGUGACAGCCCCGUACACAAAAAUGCACAUGCUGUGAGCUCGAUGAGUAGGGCGGGACACGUGGUAUCCUGUCUGAAUAUGGGGGGACCAUCCUCCAAGGCUAAAUACUCCUGACUGACCGAUAGUGAACCAGUACCGUGAGGGAAAGGCGAAAAGAACCCCGGCGAGGGGAGUGAAAAAGAACCUGAAACCGUGUACGUACAAGCAGUGGGAGCACGCUUAGGCGUGUGACUGCGUACCUUUUGUAUAAUGGGUCAGCGACUUAUAUUCUGUAGCAAGGUUAACCGAAUAGGGGAGCCGAAGGGAAACCGAGUCUUAACUGGGCGUUAAGUUGCAGGGUAUAGACCCGAAACCCGGUGAUCUAGCCAUGGGCAGGUUGAAGGUUGGGUAACACUAACUGGAGGACCGAACCGACUAAUGUUGAAAAAUUAGCGGAUGACUUGUGGCUGGGGGUGAAAGGCCAAUCAAACCGGGAGAUAGCUGGUUCUCCCCGAAAGCUAUUUAGGUAGCGCCUCGUGAAUUCAUCUCCGGGGGUAGAGCACUGUUUCGGCAAGGGGGUCAUCCCGACUUACCAACCCGAUGCAAACUGCGAAUACCGGAGAAUGUUAUCACGGGAGACACACGGCGGGUGCUAACGUCCGUCGUGAAGAGGGAAACAACCCAGACCGCCAGCUAAGGUCCCAAAGUCAUGGUUAAGUGGGAAACGAUGUGGGAAGGCCCAGACAGCCAGGAUGUUGGCUUAGAAGCAGCCAUCAUUUAAAGAAAGCGUAAUAGCUCACUGGUCGAGUCGGCCUGCGCGGAAGAUGUAACGGGGCUAAACCAUGCACCGAAGCUGCGGCAGCGACGCUUAUGCGUUGUUGGGUAGGGGAGCGUUCUGUAAGCCUGCGAAGGUGUGCUGUGAGGCAUGCUGGAGGUAUCAGAAGUGCGAAUGCUGACAUAAGUAACGAUAAAGCGGGUGAAAAGCCCGCUCGCCGGAAGACCAAGGGUUCCUGUCCAACGUUAAUCGGGGCAGGGUGAGUCGACCCCUAAGGCGAGGCCGAAAGGCGUAGUCGAUGGGAAACAGGUUAAUAUUCCUGUACUUGGUGUUACUGCGAAGGGGGGACGGAGAAGGCUAUGUUGGCCGGGCGACGGUUGUCCCGGUUUAAGCGUGUAGGCUGGUUUUCCAGGCAAAUCCGGAAAAUCAAGGCUGAGGCGUGAUGACGAGGCACUACGGUGCUGAAGCAACAAAUGCCCUGCUUCCAGGAAAAGCCUCUAAGCAUCAGGUAACAUCAAAUCGUACCCCAAACCGACACAGGUGGUCAGGUAGAGAAUACCAAGGCGCUUGAGAGAACUCGGGUGAAGGAACUAGGCAAAAUGGUGCCGUAACUUCGGGAGAAGGCACGCUGAUAUGUAGGUGAAGUCCCUCGCGGAUGGAGCUGAAAUCAGUCGAAGAUACCAGCUGGCUGCAACUGUUUAUUAAAAACACAGCACUGUGCAAACACGAAAGUGGACGUAUACGGUGUGACGCCUGCCCGGUGCCGGAAGGUUAAUUGAUGGGGUUAGCGCAAGCGAAGCUCUUGAUCGAAGCCCCGGUAAACGGCGGCCGUAACUAUAACGGUCCUAAGGUAGCGAAAUUCCUUGUCGGGUAAGUUCCGACCUGCACGAAUGGCGUAAUGAUGGCCAGGCUGUCUCCACCCGAGACUCAGUGAAAUUGAACUCGCUGUGAAGAUGCAGUGUACCCGCGGCAAGACGGAAAGACCCCGUGAACCUUUACUAUAGCUUGACACUGAACAUUGAGCCUUGAUGUGUAGGAUAGGUGGGAGGCUUUGAAGUGUGGACGCCAGUCUGCAUGGAGCCGACCUUGAAAUACCACCCUUUAAUGUUUGAUGUUCUAACGUUGACCCGUAAUCCGGGUUGCGGACAGUGUCUGGUGGGUAGUUUGACUGGGGCGGUCUCCUCCUAAAGAGUAACGGAGGAGCACGAAGGUUGGCUAAUCCUGGUCGGACAUCAGGAGGUUAGUGCAAUGGCAUAAGCCAGCUUGACUGCGAGCGUGACGGCGCGAGCAGGUGCGAAAGCAGGUCAUAGUGAUCCGGUGGUUCUGAAUGGAAGGGCCAUCGCUCAACGGAUAAAAGGUACUCCGGGGAUAACAGGCUGAUACCGCCCAAGAGUUCAUAUCGACGGCGGUGUUUGGCACCUCGAUGUCGGCUCAUCACAUCCUGGGGCUGAAGUAGGUCCCAAGGGUAUGGCUGUUCGCCAUUUAAAGUGGUACGCGAGCUGGGUUUAGAACGUCGUGAGACAGUUCGGUCCCUAUCUGCCGUGGGCGCUGGAGAAUUGAGGGGGGCUGCUCCUAGUACGAGAGGACCGGAGUGGACGCAUCACUGGUGUUCGGGUUGUCAUGCCAAUGGCACUGCCCGGUAGCUAAAUGCGGAAGAGAUAAGUGCUGAAAGCAUCUAAGCACGAAACUUGCCCCGAGAUGAGUUCUCCCUGACUCCUUGAGAGUCCUGAAGGAACGUUGAAGACGACGACGUUGAUAGGCCGGGUGUGUAAGCGCAGCGAUGCGUUGAGCUAACCGGUACUAAUGAACCGUGAGGCUUAACCUU
RNAcentral lists this ribosomal RNA (2902 nucleotides) under Escherichia coli. RNAcentral's name for it is "bacterial LSU rRNA". It matches the Rfam family "Bacterial large subunit ribosomal RNA". Lineage: Bacteria; Pseudomonadati; Pseudomonadota; Gammaproteobacteria; Enterobacterales; Enterobacteriaceae. The record is from RNAcentral.